UCAACAUCUUUGGUAAUGUGUAGUAAUGCAUUUUUAGUGUCUUCUCCUUCCAUGAGAGCCUCUACCUGCUCAGAAGUUGCUCCAGAUGAUGUUUCUACCCUGUUAUGUUGUUCAAGAGUUGUUGCAGAUGAUGUUUCUUCCCUUUUUUGUUGUUCAAGUGCUCCUGCAAAUAAUGUUUCAGGUUGUAGAAUCUGUCCAAAUGACUUUACGACCCAAUCUUUUAUUGAUAUCCUCUCCCCUUCACUCCAUUUUGUAGCAUUUAAAUCCUUGGAAUUAUCACCUGUUGUAUGUGAUCUCUUGCAUUAUCAUCCUCCUCUUGGACAAGGCCAUCAAACUUAUUCUUAAUUGGUAUGGUGGUGUGAUUGUUAAUAUGUCGUUUAUCAUUUACCACAUUCCAUUGACUAGGGUCUCCAACUACUCUACCGCUAGAGAGAAUUCUAGCCUUUCCUUUUUGAAAUUUAUGCACUUGUGGGAGAUAAGGAAGAAUAGUUUCCUAUGACCUUUUCUCACCACCAUGUUCAUUAUUGUAUUGUUGUGCUUUAUUUUCUUCCUUAUGCUUUGAUACCUUACUCAUUCGAUACUCUUCCAUACUGUUCCCUGCAUCUUACAUUCCCAACAAUACUUGGGGACAUCGUCGUAUUUGAUAGAAACCAUGUUAGCUCUUACCUCCCAGUAGCUUCAUUCACAAUGUUCAUCUGUAUUGCCUUAGGAAAAUCUUUCUUUAGAUCUAUUAGCACCUUUACACGAGCACAACUAGGUCUAGACUUAUUAAUUGUAGCCUGAUCUAGUUGUAAAGGUUUGCCCAUAGCUGCAGCUAAAGAGAAUAAACAUUCUUUCACAAAAAGGUAGGCAAAAGGUUAG
Molecule: long non-coding RNA, 861 nt
Organism: Capsicum annuum
Lineage: Eukaryota; Viridiplantae; Streptophyta; Magnoliopsida; Solanales; Solanaceae
Exons: 2
Source: RefSeq, a predicted model, not a curated record